UGGCCGCGGUAUUUUGACCGUGCGAAGGUAGCAUAAUAAUUAGGCUAUUAAUUGUAGUCUUGUAUGAAUGGUUCGACGAAGGGAAGCUUUCUUAUUUAUAAGGUUGAAUUUUAAUAAUUAGUGAAAAUGCUAAUAUUUAAUAUAAAGACGAGAAGACCCUAUUGAGUUUUAUAUAUUAUUAUUUUUGAAGUAGUAAAGUAAAAUAAGAUUAUAUUUGGUUGGGGCGAUUUUGGUAAAAAAACAUUGAAUUAUGAUUAAAGUUUGAGGAUCCGUUAAUAGCGAUUAGUAGAUUAAAUUACCAUAGGGAUAACAGCAUAAUUUUAUUGUAGAGUUCUUAUCGAAUUUAAAGUUUGUGACCUCGAUGUUGGAUUAAGAUGACUAUUAGGUGCAGGUGCUUAAUUAGUUAGACUGUUCGUCUAUUAAAAUCUUACA
RNAcentral lists this ribosomal RNA (432 nucleotides) under Scolopendra sp. CES091464. Its description in RNAcentral is "partial 16S ribosomal RNA". It matches the Rfam family "Bacterial large subunit ribosomal RNA", at positions 1928 to 2600 of the family's 2925-position model. Lineage: Eukaryota; Metazoa; Arthropoda; Chilopoda; Scolopendromorpha; Scolopendridae. The record is from RNAcentral.